UGAUGCCUGUACCUUAUGAAUAAGCAUCGGCUAACUCCGUGCCAGCAGCCGCGGUAAUACGGAGGAUGCGAGCGUUAUCCGGAUUUAUUGGGUUUAAAGGGUGCGUAGGCGGUUUAUUAAGUUAGAGGUUAAAUAUUUGAGCUAAACUCAAUUGUGCCAUUAAUACUGGUAAACUGGAGUACAGACGAGGUAGGCGGAAUAAGUUAAGUAGCGGUGAAAUGCAUAGAUAUAACUUAGAACUCCGAUAGCGAAGGCAGCUUACCAGACUGUAACUGACGCUGAUGCACGAGAGCGUGGGUAG
Molecule: ribosomal RNA, 301 nt
Filed under: uncultured bacterium
Lineage: Bacteria
Description: bacterial SSU rRNA
Rfam family: Bacterial small subunit ribosomal RNA
Source: RNAcentral